Molecule: long non-coding RNA, 676 nt
Organism: Gadus macrocephalus (Pacific cod)
Lineage: Eukaryota; Metazoa; Chordata; Actinopteri; Gadiformes; Gadidae
Exons: 3
Source: RefSeq, a predicted model, not a curated record
UGAAUGCAUUACUGUUAAAGCAUCUUUUGUCAUGAAAAGCAGUACCAAUAUGUGAGUAUCUAUCUUCUUUUCCUUCUUUGCACUUUAAAUAUGACGGUGGCAUUUGUCCUGCCUGUGCAGCCUGUUGACCAGAGCAUGUUGACACUUUUUUUGCAAGACCUGUGUAAACUACAAACACUCUAAAUGUAAGAAGUCUGACUGUCAGAAACACUCUUGUGAGAUGAGAUUACAUGAGCAUCCAGAAUGGGUUCUGGAUGAAAAAGUACUCUUAUGAAUGAAUGGUAUAUAAACUGCAUAACACUGUUAAUGUAUGGUCCUGCUUUGUUUUACCUACACAGCCUGCUGAUGGAGAAAUACCUGAAACAAAGCGUGUUGCUGCUCAUCUACCUUUUUCAUCGUUGAGGCCUGAUCAAACUCAUCUAUUUUCACCUGUGGUGCAGACCUUCAGGAACAGAUUCCACCUGUUGGAGCUUGCUCGAGCUCAUCCAUCUACACCUGUAUCCCAAACUUCCAAGACCAAUCCGAACUACAAAAACCACUGCUGCUAGAACUUUGACUGUCCAUGAUGGUCUUGUGAGAUCACUUUCCUUAAUUUUUUAAAGCGUGUUGCGGUGACUGGAUUGGAUGCCUGGACUCUCCUCAUGGUUAACCGGCCAGCACCACAUCACCAUUUUAU